RNAcentral lists this ribosomal RNA (483 nucleotides) under uncultured bacterium. Its description in RNAcentral is "partial 16S ribosomal RNA". It matches the Rfam family "Bacterial small subunit ribosomal RNA", at positions 28 to 523 of the family's 1533-position model. The record is from RNAcentral.
GACGAACGCUGGCGGCGUGCUUAACACAUGCAAGUCGAACGAUGAAGCCUAGCUUGCUGGGUGGAAGAGAGGCGAACGGGUGAGUAACACGUGAGUAACCUGCCCCUGACUCUGGGAUAAGCGCUAGAAAUGGCGUCUAAUACUGGAUAUGACCUAUCACCGCAUGGUGUGUGGGUGGAAAGAUUUAUCGGUUGGGGAUGGACUCGCGGCCUAUCAGCUUGUUGGUGAGGUAAUGGCUCACCAAGGCGACGACGGGUAGCCGGCCUGAGAGGGUGACCGGCCACACUGGGACUGAGACACGGCCCAGACUCCUACGGGAGGCAGCAGUGGGGAAUAUUGCACAAUGGGCGCAAGCCUGAUGCAGCAACGCCGCGUGAGGGAUGACGGCCUUCCGGUUGUAAACCUCUUUUAGUAGGGAAGAAGCGAAAGUGACGGUACCUGCAGAAAAAGCACCGGCUAACUACGUGCCAGCCGCCGCGGUAA